RNAcentral lists this long non-coding RNA (3209 nucleotides) under Nicotiana benthamiana. RNAcentral describes it as "long non-coding RNA (NBEN_LNC008227)". Lineage: Eukaryota; Viridiplantae; Streptophyta; Magnoliopsida; Solanales; Solanaceae. The record is from RNAcentral.
AAAGCCAAAACAUGUUAUACAAGAGCAUUUACAGAAAGAAUACAAAUAAUAUACUACUCUAUGCCCUUCUUGAGAAAAUUUACAAUGUUAUUUCAAUCCACACCUUGCUCACCUAUCAUUUUUGGUAUCAACAAACUUAUAUACCAUGUUUCCUUCAUUUAACUUUGGGUGAGUGCACCAACAUUAUGACUUCAAAUGCACGAAAUAAAUCCAUCUUGAGACAAGUUUGACAAAAGUUUUUCAGUGGACUCCUCUCUCAUUCCUAGCAAGACUGAAGCUCAAAAAAUCAUGGAACCUGUUCUUCUUUGAACCGUAGCAGUGCUAUAGGUUGCUGUUCAUUGUUCGAGAAGCCUAUUCUUCUAGUUGCAUCCUGUUUAUCAACUACGGGGUUGUGUGGCCUCAUCUGUGACACAGAAUUAUUUGCGGUGUUGUGGCUACUGUUCCUAGCUGCAGGCACGUCAUGAUUAUGUUUGCCCUCAUAUGUUGUUAUGACAGAUUUUGGAUCGCUCGGGGCCCUUUCCACAUGUUUCCGUACAUUACAUCCCUGGCUGGUACAUUUGUAAUAGCUUCUGCAGAGAAUAAUAUGGUAUACUGAAUAUGUUAGCAAAGCAAGCAAAAUAACCGAUAAGCAUCUGGCUAUGCAUUCACAGAAGUCAUCUAGAUAUCUGAUUGGCCUGUUUUGUUCUUGCACGUAAAUACAACAUGGUCCAACUGUACCACGCAAAAUUCAGACUGAGUUUCAAACAAAGAGUUCUAAUAUGAUCAUGGGAAAAAAAAAUGUGUUCAAGCAGAAGAAAGUUUUUUCUGACAGUGGCAGGUGAUUCAGGAAGGUAACUUCACAUUCAUAAUGCGCCAUAAGCAGAUAUAUUCUAUUUAGGGUUCACUUAACCAUAAAUCUACCUUGGAUAAGGGUUUCCUUUUACAACUUUCUGGCCAUACUUCCGCCAUCUAUAACCAUCAUCCAAAAGAUCAACUUCGCUUGUUGUUUGAACAAUGAUCCUAGGUUCUGCAACUGCCCGGUGAGAAGCAGAAGAAGCUGCUUCUGAAGUCUGUACUUCUAUGGCCCUGCAAGGUACAGUUGUAGAGAUGGAGAACAGCAGGUUAUGAAGAUAGUAUGAAAAUAUUCUCUUCAAAUGUUGUGCCAAGGAUGAAGCAGAUUACCUUCGCUUAGAUUCACGUUCAUCAUUUCCAUCAGCUAUAGUCUCAGCAUCACCCACUUCCUCACCCUCACUUGAUCCGGAGACUUGGUCAUGUGUAGCUUGGCUGGAUUCUUGAUCCUUCAUUCUUAAUGAAUAGGAAGGCAUGCUAUCCUUGGAAUUGUUCAGAGUUCCUGCCACACCCUCAGAGCUGAGUUCAGAUGGCCCCUGAAGAUUAUUGUUUCCAUUUGGAUUUCCACUAUCUUUCGAGCGUUUACUAGAUUGAGGCGGCUGAUGGUUGUGCUGGCCCUUAUAGAUAAUCUCGGUUACUUGGCCAUCAAGAGACCGCUCAACCUUCUUCUUGACUGGACAAUUUGGAUGUGUACACUUGUAAUAACUACGAGGAUAUUCACUUCCCUUGACAUGCUUCUGCCCAUACUUGCGCCAGUUGUAGCCAUCAUCAGCAGGUUUAUCAACAGCAGAGGAAGCAGGUUCUGACCUCUGAUCAGACAGAGAGACAUCAGAUGCUUCUUUCAUAACAUUAGGAUCUGAUGCAGGAGGCGGUAUCGGUUUGUUUGCUGUGGCAUUUGAGGUUAGGGACUGGAACUGUGAAAAGGACGGUGCAGGCGCUGCUGAAGAAGUCGGAUAGUCAGGUUGAAUGUGCAUUUGAGACUGAGGAUAUGCUGCCUGAGCUGUAACUUGAGCAAGGGCUUGCUGAUGUGACAUUCCAAAAGGGCCCUUUAUGGUCGAAAAACCAUACGUAAAUAACAUUGAAAAAGCUAAUUCAAUUUAAACCAAUAGCAUCAUCACCGUACAUGUUGCAACAGUUUAUUUACAAAAUUCUUUUCCUGCUGCUGAUUGAGUCAAGAAAGAAAAAGGUUUUUUUUUUGGGUGGUGGUGGGGUGUGCGUGUGUGUGGAAGGGGGGGAGGGGGGGAGGUGUUCGAGAAUUGAAGAGAGAAAGAGGAUAGCUACUCCUCUAACACGUUCGUUCCAACUAAUGAAGUAAUUUAGCCUCAUGAGAUGUACUGUCAGAAGAUAUAGUAUAUUAUGCACCAACAAAAAGAAGAUAUCGAAUCUCAUAUCACAUAUUAUCUCAAACUUCAGUAUCAAUAGCCUCAACUCACACUACCAGACUUAAAGGAAUGCCUAAAGGGAAUCAGACUGCUGUUCUCCUGUAUUCAAGAAAGUUUCCCCAUACACGAAAUGCAAUAUUCUCUUAAAGCAUAACUCCAACCUAACCAGGGACAUAAGAAUAGGUUUUGACAAUUUACAAUCUGUUGAUUUGUAAAAUUGAUACUACUUGGUUAUAAGAUGUGGAGCAGGAAAAGUAGUGAAAAUCUUAAGUUACCAUUACCUAGCAUGUGACAAAGAAAAAUGGUCAAAGGUAACACAACAAAAGAAAAAUGGCAUGCCAACAUUGCAAGUGUAAACUCAUAGUUUGGACUGUAAAGAGGAACACCAGACAUGGUGUUUGACACGGACAUGUUCCACUCUGAGAAACAAGAAAAUGUCCAAAUGACAGUUCCUUACUUCCUUCCCCUCUCUAAAAGUACUGGAAAUGAAACUUCUUCCAUAUUUUAGUACAUUCUGGCUUUUAAACCAACAAAUCUAGGUGUAAAGUUUUUCUCUCUAUCUUCUUUCUCUUCUUUUCUCUCAUACGGAAGUCCGCCUAUGGCUGCUCGCAAGGACCUGCAGCCCUCUAUUGGCGAUCAGGCCUAUCUGCAAAUCCUCUAGACAUAGAACGUGUUCUUGAUACAGUUUUAUUUCUUCUUCAAGGAGAAAUUACUUUUUAAACUUCUUCCCUACAACAGAGAAACAACUUUUACGAAUACUCAAAAGCACACUUAUUCAGGCCAAACACUUGAACUCUCCAAAAUAAGCAACUUUUCUGAAAAAUAAGCACUUAUAUUUUCCUAGAAGCUUGACCAAUCAGGGCUUAAAUACCUCAAAGAAUCUAGAAAACCCCCAUAACCGAAAUUAUGCUGCAACUCUUAAAUCACACAAUCCAGAAACCACGCUAAGGUUAAUAUAUCCACAAAUCAAACAAUCAUUAUGCCUCAAUCGUAAAUAAA